This 457-nucleotide unclassified non-coding RNA is filed under the name Hevea brasiliensis (rubber tree). The record is from RNAcentral. Lineage: Eukaryota; Viridiplantae; Streptophyta; Magnoliopsida; Malpighiales; Euphorbiaceae.
CCUCUACAGGUUUUUGGAUUUUCUUCGUGAGCCUACCUCAGACAACAUAAUGUUUUUUUAUCUGUAUGAAGCCAGUGUAAAAAAGAGCAAAUGAUUGUCAUAGUAAAUCAUAAAGGGUACGGGUAAUGCCUUGAAAAAUUUAAGCUGCAAUUUCUAUGCAUGGAACUUAUUUUCGUUCUGAAGAUUCUGUUUGUGAUGCAUGACAAACAAGGUUCUCUAAAACAUUUCCAGCAUCGUCCCCCUCAACAUAGCCUCUGCCUUCCUCACCUGUUUCACUGGUCCAACUAUGAAUACCUCGUCAGGUGGACCGUUCGAACCUCCAAAGAAAUUGCUGCAAGACAAAAUGGAGGCCCCUCGCUUUCCAAUAACCUGUCCCAUCCUUCCAGGGGGAACAUCAAGAACUGAUAGGAUUUCCUCCUCAGGAUCACCACCCUCUGCUAUAAGGUUAUCUACACAG